Molecule: microRNA, 23 nt
Filed under: Rattus norvegicus (Norway rat)
Lineage: Eukaryota; Metazoa; Chordata; Mammalia; Rodentia; Muridae
Description: rno-miR-346
Gene: rno-miR-346
Source: miRBase by way of RNAcentral
UGUCUGCCUGAGUGCCUGCCUCU